UGGGCGUAAAGAGCUCGUAGGUGGUUUGUCGCGUUGUUCGUGAAAUCUCACGGCUUAACUGUGAGCGUGCGGGCGAUACGGGCAGACUUGAGUACUGCAGGGGAGACUGGAAUUCCUGGUGUAGCGGUGGAAUGCGCAGAUAUCAGGAGGAACACCGGUGGCGAAGGCGGGUCUCUGGGCAGUAACUGACGCUGAGGAGCGAAAGCGUGGGGAGCGAACAGGAUUAGAUACCCUGGUAGUCCACGCCGUAAACGGUGGGUACUAGGUGUGGGUUUCCUUCCUUGGGAUCCGUGCCGUAGCUAACGCAUUAAGUACCCCGCCUGGGGAGUACGGCCGCAAGGCUAAAACUCAAAGAAAUUGACGGGGGCCCGCACAAGCGGCGGAGCAUGUGGAUUAAUUCGAUGCAACGCGAAGAACCUUACCUGGGUUUGACACGCACAGGACGCCGGCAGAGAUGUCGGUUCCCUUGUGGCCUGUGUGCAGGUGGUGCAUGGCUGUCGUCAGCUCGUGUCGUGAGAUGUUGGGUUAAGUCCCGCAACGAGCGCAACCUUGUCUCAUGUUGCCAGCGGGUAAUGCCGGGGACUCGUGAGAGACUGCCGGGGUCAACUCGGAGGAAGGUGGGGAUGACGUCAAGUCAUCAUGCCCCUUAUGUCCAGGGCUUCACACAUGCUACAAUGGCCGGUACAAAGGGCUGCGAUGCCGCGAGGUUAAGCGAAUCCUUUUAAAGCCGGUCUCAGUUCGGAUCGGGGUCUGCAACUCGACCCCGUGAAGUCGGAGU
RNAcentral lists this ribosomal RNA (778 nucleotides) under uncultured bacterium. RNAcentral describes it as "bacterial SSU rRNA". It matches the Rfam family "Bacterial small subunit ribosomal RNA", at positions 555 to 1332 of the family's 1533-position model. The record is from RNAcentral.